GAAUGCUGACAUAAGUAACGAUAAAGCGGGUGAAAAGCCCGCUCGCCGGAAGACCAAGGGUUCCUGUCCAACGUUAAUCGGGGCAGGGUGAGUCGACCCCUAAGGCGAGGCCGAAAGGCGUAGUCGAUGGGAAACGGGUUAAUAUUCCCGUACUUGGUGUUACUGCGAAGGGGGGACGGAGAAGGCUAUGUUGGCCGGGCGACGGUUGUCCCGGUUUAAGCGUGUAGGUGUGUGUUCCAGGUAAAUCCGGUUCACUUUAACACUGAGGCGUGAUGACGAGGCACUACGGUGCUGAAGUAACAAAUGCCCUGCUUCCAGGAAAAGCCUCUAAGCAUCAGGUAACAUCAAAUCGUACCCCAAACCGACACAGGUGGUCAGGUAGAGAAUACCAAGGCGCUUGAGAGAACUCGGGUGAAGGAACUAGGCAAAAUGGUGCCGUAACUUCGGGAGAAGGCACGCUGACACGUAGGUGAAGUGAUUUACUCACGGAGCUGAAGUCAGUCGAAGAUACCAGCUGGCUGCAACUGUUUAUUAAAAACACAGCACUGUGCAAACACGAAAGUGGACGUAUACGGUGUGACGCCUGCCCGGUGCCGGAAGGUUAAUUGAUGGGGUCAGCGCAAGCGAAGCUCCUGAUCGAAGCCCCGGUAAACGGCGGCCGUAACUAUAACGGUCCUAAGGUAGCGAAAUUCCUUGUCGGGUAAGUUCCGACCUGCACGAAUGGCGUAAUGAUGGCCAGGCUGUCUCCACCCGAGACUCAGUGAAAUUGAACUCGCUGUGAAGAUGCAGUGUACCCGCGGCAAGACGGAAAGACCCCGUGAACCUUUACUAUAGCUUGACACUGAACAUUGAGCCUUGAUGUGUAGGAUAGGUGGGAGGCUUUGAAGUGUGGACGCCAGUCUGCAUGGAGCCGACCUUGAAAUACCACCCUUUAAUGUUUGAUGUUCUAACGUGGACCCGUUACCCGGGUUGCGGACAGUGUCUGGUGGGUAGUUUGACUGGGGCGGUCUCCUCCUAAAGAGUAACGGAGGAGCACGAAGGUUGGCUAAUCCUGGUCGGACAUCAGGAGGUUAGUGCAAUGGCAUAAGCCAGCUUGACUGCGAGCGUGACGGCGCGAGCAGGUGCGAAAGCAGGUCAUAGUGAUCCGGUGGUUCUGAAUGGAAGGGCCAUCGCUCAACGGAUAAAAGGUACUCCGGGGAUAACAGGCUGAUACCGCCCAAGAGUUCAUAUCGACGGCGGUGUUUGGCACCUCGAUGUCGGCUCAUCACAUCCUGGGGCUGAAGUAGGUCCCAAGGGUAUGGCUGUUCGCCAUUUAAAGUGGUACGCGAGCUGGGUUUAGAACGUCGUGAGACAGUUCGGUCCCUAUCUGCCGUGGGCGCUGGAGAACUGAGGGGGGCUGCUCCUAGUACGAGAGGACCGGAGUGGACGCAUCACUGGUGUUCGGGUUGUCAUGCCAAUGGCACUGCCCGGUAGCUAAAUGCGGAAGAGAUAAGUGCUGAAAGCAUCUAAGCACGAAACUUGCCCCGA
Molecule: ribosomal RNA, 1527 nt
Filed under: Salmonella enterica subsp. enterica serovar Berta
Lineage: Bacteria; Pseudomonadati; Pseudomonadota; Gammaproteobacteria; Enterobacterales; Enterobacteriaceae
Also listed under: 1 other name
Description: partial 23S ribosomal RNA
Rfam family: Bacterial large subunit ribosomal RNA
Source: RNAcentral